UCGGGCUGGGGCUAAGAAUGCAAGUCGUGCGCGAUCGCCAUGCCCGAUCGCGCGGCGAACGGCUCCGUAACACGUCCCCAACCGAACCUCGGGAUCCGGAUACCCUCGGGAAACUGAGGCUAAUCCGGAAUAGGGGAGAGUGACUGGAAGGCCUCUCCCCGAAAAGGAAACCGAGGCUAGGGUCGGUUUUCCGCCCGAGGACGGGGGGGCGUCCCAUCAGGUAGUAGGUGGGGUAACGGCCCACCUAGCCUAUGACGGGUACGGGCGCUGAGAGGCGGAGCCCGGAGAGGGGCACUGAGACAAGGGCCUCAGCCCUACGGGGUGCAGCAGUCGCGAAACCUCCGCAAUGCGCGAAAGCGUGACGGGGUCAGCCCGAGUGCCACCCGAGAGGGUGGCUGUGGCUGGCUGUAAACAAGCCGGCUUAGAAAGCGGAGGGCAAGGCUGGUGCCAGCCGCCGCGGUAAAACCAGCUCCGCGAGUGGUCGGGGCGUUUACUGGGCUUAAAGGGUCCGUAGGCGGCUCUGUGUGUCCGCGGCUAAAUCUCGGGGCUCAACCCCGAGACUGCUGCGGAUACUACAGAGCUAGGGACCGGGCGAGGGCGGGAGUACUCCCGGGGUAGGGGCGAAAUCCUGAGAUCCCGGGGGGACUAUCGGUGGCGAAGGCGCCCGCCUAGAACGGCUCCGACGCUGAGGGACGAAAGCCUGGGGAGCGAAGGGGAUUAGAUACCCCCGUAGUCCAGGCUGUAAA
RNAcentral lists this ribosomal RNA (746 nucleotides) under uncultured prokaryote. Its description in RNAcentral is "bacterial SSU rRNA". It matches the Rfam family "Archaeal small subunit ribosomal RNA", at positions 33 to 757 of the family's 1478-position model. The record is from RNAcentral.